AUUUUUAAAAUAGAAAUUUAUUAAUUGUUUUUUUUUAUAAUAAUUUUAUUAAAAAUAAUUUUAAAUUUUUUAUUUUUAGUAUAUUUUAUAUAAAAAAUAAAUUUUAUGAUAAUUUAUUAUGUAUUGAAAAAGAAAAUUGAAAUAAAUUGAAAAAUAAUUUUUAUAAAAGAAAAAUUUAUUUUUUGUACCUUGUGUUUCAUGAUUAAUUAAAUAAACUUUAAAAUUUUAAUUUUCUCGAAUUUUAAAGAUUUAAUUUUAAAUGGUUUUUUUUGUUUAAAAAAAAUUUUUAAUUUAAAAUUAGAAAUUAAAAGUUAUUCGUUUUUUAAGAUAUCUAGUUUUUUAAGAAAUAAAUUAAAUUUAUUUUUUUAAAUAAUUAUUUUAAUUAUUUUUUAUUAUUAAAAUUAAUUAAUUUAAAAAUUAAAUAUUUUAAGGGAUGAUCUUUAAAAUAAAAUUUUAUAAAUUAAAUUUAUUAAAAAAAAAUAAAAUAAUCUUAAAAAUAGAUAUUUUUAAAAAAUAUGUUAUUAUUUAAUUAAAUUUUUAUAAAAAAAUUUUUAUAAUUUUUUAAUUUUUUAUUAAAAUUUUUAUUUAAAUUUUAUAAAUAAAUUAAAUAUGAUUAAAUUAGUAAAAUAAAAAUUAUUUAAAAUUUAUUUUAUUUAAUAAAUUUUUAUUUAAUAAUUCAGCAAAAUUUUAUAUUUAAAUGUUUAACAAAAACAUUUUUUUUUAAAAAUUUUAUAAAAAAUAUAACCUGCCCAAUGAAAUUAUAUUUUUAAAGGCCGCAGUAUUUUGACUGUGCAAAGGUAGCAUAAUCAUUAGUCUUUUAAUUGAAGACUUGUAUGAAUGGUUGAAUAAGAUAUAAGCUUUUUUAAUAAUUUUAUUUAAAUUUUUUAUUUUUGUUAAAAAUCAAAAAUAUUAUUUAAAGACGAUAAGACCCUAUAAAGCUUAAUAAAAAUUUUAAUAAAUUUUAUUAGAAUAUUAAAAUUUUUAUUACAUUUUUUAUUUUAUUGGGGUGAUAAUAAAAUUUUUAAACUUUUAUUUAUUUUUUAAUUAAUUUUUUUUAAUUUUUUUUUGAUCCAAUAUUUGAUUAAAAGGUUAAGUUACUUUAGGGAUAACAGCGUUAUUUUUUUAAAGAGUUCUAAUCGAUAAAAAAUAUUGCGACCUCGAUGUUGGACUAAGAGUAAGUUUAGGUGUAGAAGUUUAAAUUUUUAGUCUGUUCGACUAUUAAAUUCUUACGUGAUCUGAGUUCAAACCGGUUUAAGCCAGGUUGGUUUCUAUCUUAAAUAAUUUAAAAAUAUUUUAGUACGAAAGGACCAAAUAUUUGUUUUUAAAAUUUAUUUAUUUUGAAUUAUUCUAAAUUUUAAAAAAAAAAUUAUUAAAAAAUUUGUUUUAAAAAAUAUUAAAUUAAA
Molecule: ribosomal RNA, 1403 nt
Filed under: Thienemanniella nipponica
Lineage: Eukaryota; Metazoa; Arthropoda; Insecta; Diptera; Chironomidae
Description: 16S ribosomal RNA
Source: RNAcentral